GGUGCAUGAGGGUCUCACAUGGCUUGAGCCCUUUAGACACUGUACAGGUGGCCAAACAAAAUGGAGAGAGGGGUGAAAUCAAACCAUGAGCGACCCAACUACUCGACCCUGACACAGGCCCAAACCCACCCCCAAUCCCGCUAGUUUCCCUGGGAAGAGAACCGUCCAGCGGGCCAUGGCUGGACUGAGCCCGUGCCGGACAUGGUGCUCAGUUGCCAUCCUGGAGGGACCAGAGGAUUGCUCACCCUGGUUUCCUAGGCGGAGGCAGGUGUGUUGUCGGCAAAGACCCUCACUCAGGCCAAGUGUGUGAUGUCUCUUCUUCUUCCGCAGACGCCGAGCCCAGCACCCGGGAACCUGUUCCGGACGUGCCGCUCCCAACCAUGACUCCCAGCACCGAAGCUGACCACGACCACGACCACGACCACGACCACGACCACGACGCCGAGCCCGGCACCCGGGAACCUGUUCCGGACGUGCCGCUCCCAACCAUGACUCCCAGCACCGAGGCUGACCACGACCACGACCACGACCACGACCACGACCACGACCACGACGCCGAGCCCGGCACCCGGGAACCUGUUCCGGACGUGCCGCUCCCAACCAUGACUCCCAGCACCGAGGCUGACCACGACCACGACCACGACCACGACCACGACCACGACGCCGAGCCCGGCACCCGGGAACCUGUUCCGGACGUGCCGCUCCCAACCAUGACUCCCAGCACCGAGGCUGACCACGACCACGACCACGACCACGACCACGACCACGGUAGGGGCCCGUGUGCCUUGUGUCCUCUGCCCCUGGGAGCCCGCUGGGCUGCCGGGGCUCCUUGAGCGAGAACGGGCUUUCCUAUUGCCUCCGGGACCGGGAAGGUGUCGCCAUGCGAUUCCUUGUCCCGAAACGCUGGCCUGUGCUCUGGAGCUGCGGGGACGUCCUCGGGGCUCUGCGCGGGAAGGAUGUGCUCCCUGGGGAGAGAGGGGCCGCGGUGCGAGUCAGGCGCUCCGAGACGGGGCCGUGUGUCCUCCCGGGUUCUCUGGUUGGCUGCACGCUGCCUGGGCCUGUCCGCAGGUUGUCCGUUUCUCUGCGUGGUGGUCUGCUAAGCCGUGCGGGAGGGGCGUAGGCUUCCCCGCCCCCCACGUCUGCUCCCGCCAUGACCCCGGGGGUCUGGUGCAGCACGCCCAGCCCGCAUGCCUGGCGUUGCCACGGAGGCUGCGAGUGCAGAAGCCUCAUGGGACCCGGCGUGGAGUGCCCCACUGCCCCUGGUGGCCCAGUGUGCGCAGCGGACUUAGGCGCGGGCACGCUGGGCUCCGCGAGGAUGGUGCUCUGUGCCUCUGCCUCUCCUGAGACGUCCUUGCCUUCCUCUUGGCGUUGGCUGGUCUCCGAGCUCCCGGGACAGCGUCCAGGAGGCGUGGCCGCUGCCUGAGGACAAGUCCUCGAUGUGCCCUCUGACGCUGGCACGAGCGUGUUCUGGACCCGUGCCGUGCCCCCAGGCAGCUGGGGAGUUGUCUGCCGUGUAGUCCGGCGGGCCACCAGGAGAAUCUGACCCAGUGUCCUGGAUGGGCCAGUUCCCAGUCGUGCGCUCGUGGCCCAGACCAGACCCGGGCUGGUGUGUGGAGCCAGCCACGCGGGCCCGUCUGUCCUCCGUGCCCUGAGUGGGCGCAGAUGAGAGAGGGCGCAUCUUGCUCCGUCCGCUUUUCUCCCCCCUUUUCUCUCCUCUCUCCCCCCCGU
Molecule: long non-coding RNA, 1728 nt
Filed under: Oryctolagus cuniculus (rabbit)
Lineage: Eukaryota; Metazoa; Chordata; Mammalia; Lagomorpha; Leporidae
Description: lncRNA (ENSOCUG00000039283.1)
Source: RNAcentral